This 449-nucleotide ribosomal RNA is filed under the name uncultured bacterium. RNAcentral describes it as "bacterial SSU rRNA". It matches the Rfam family "Bacterial small subunit ribosomal RNA", at positions 28 to 457 of the family's 1533-position model. The record is from RNAcentral.
GAUGAACGCUGGCGGCGUGCUUAACACAUGCAAGUCGAACGAAGCACUUUAUUUGAUUUCCUUCGGGAUUGAUUAUUUUGUGACUGAGUGGCGGACGGGUGAGUAACGCGUGGGUAACCUGCCUUGUACAGGGGGAUAACAGUUGGAAACGGCUGCUAAUACCGCAUAAGCGCACGGCAUCGCAUGAUGCAGUGUGAAAAACUCCGGUGGUAUAAGAUGGACCCGCGUUGGAUUAGCUAGUUGGUGAGGUAACGGCCCACCAAGGCGACGAUCCAUAGCCGACCUGAGAGGGUGACCGGCCACAUUGGGACUGAGACACGGCCCAAACUCCUACGGGAGGCAGCAGUGGGGAAUAUUGCACAAUGGGCGAAAGCCUGAUGCAGCGACGCCGCGUGAGCGAAGAAGUAUUUCGGUAUGUAAAGCUCUAUCAGCAGGGAAGAUAAUGACGG